This 433-nucleotide ribosomal RNA is filed under the name uncultured bacterium. Its description in RNAcentral is "partial 16S ribosomal RNA". It matches the Rfam family "Bacterial small subunit ribosomal RNA", at positions 29 to 507 of the family's 1533-position model. The record is from RNAcentral.
AACGAACGCUGGCGGCAUGCCUAACACAUGCAAGUCGAACGAGACCUUCGGGUCUAGUGGCGCACGGGUGCGUAACGCGUGGGAACCUGCCCUUAGGUUCGGAAUAACUCCCCGAAAGGGGUGCUAAUACCGGAUAAUGUCUUCGGACCAAAGAUUUAUCGCCUUUGGAUGGGCCCGCGUUGGAUUAGCUAGUUGGUAGGGUAAAAGCCUACCAAGGCGACGAUCCAUAGCUGGUCUGAGAGGAUGAUCAGCCACACUGGGACUGAGACACGGCCCAGACUCCUACGGGAGGCAGCAGUGGGGAAUAGUGGACAAUGGGCGAAAGCAUGAUCCAGCAAUGCCGCGUGAGUGAUGAAGGCCGUAGGGUUGUAAAGCUCUUUUACCCGGGAUGAUAAUGACAGUACCGGGAGAAUAAGCUCCGGCUAACUCCGUG